CUUUAGCAUAAUAAGUAUUAAAGGUCCCGCCUGCCCAGUGAAACAUUUAAACGGCCGCGGUAUUCUAACCGUGCAAAGGUAGCGUAAUCACUUGUCUUCUAAAUAAAGACCUGUAUGAACGGCUAAAUGAGGACAAGCCUGUCUCUUACAACCAAUCAGUGAAACUGAUCUGCCAGUACAAAAGCUAGCAUAAUUACAUAAGACGAGAAGACCCUGUGGAGCUUUAAACAAACCACUACCCUAACCCCUAGCCCUAGUGCACUGUUUUAAGUUGGGGCGACUUCGGAACAAAACAAAACUUCCGAGCAGAGAUCCACCACUCCCACCGAGGCCUACAAGCCAAAGUACAAAACUGACCCGGCCAUUGCCGACUAACGAACCAAGUUACCCCAGGGAUAACAGCGCUAUCUUCUUCAAGAGUCCAUAUCGACAAGAAGGUUUACGACCUCGAUGUUGGAUCAGGACACCCAAGUGGUGCAGCCGCUACUAAAGGUUCGUUUGUUCAACGAUUAACAGUCCUACGUGAUCUGAGUUCAGACCGGAGAAAUCCAGGUCGGUUUCUAUC
RNAcentral lists this ribosomal RNA (565 nucleotides) under Eutropis rugifera (rough-scaled sun skink). RNAcentral describes it as "partial 16S ribosomal RNA". It matches the Rfam family "Bacterial large subunit ribosomal RNA", at positions 1828 to 2642 of the family's 2925-position model. Lineage: Eukaryota; Metazoa; Chordata; Lepidosauria; Squamata; Scincidae. The record is from RNAcentral.